CCAUCAAUUUAGACAAGAUGCAGUUUCUCGAUCCACCCCAUAAAUUAAUCAUUGAUCUCCAAUGAUUCUGUUUGGUGACAUGUUGCUUUCGUUCUCCCUCAAUAAUACAGUCAGACAUGCUGCCCUGUCAAGAUGUCGAUCAUCAACCAUGCAUGCAGAGUUUCGGUGGUCUGUUGCUUCCAGUCUUCGUCAAUAAAUAGAGUCGCACGUUUCCAUAGCGUAGGUGAAGGCAAUGGGAGCCACUGAGAUGGUAAGAGUCCACUGCUUCUUGUGCAUGACCCUCCUCGUUCUACUCUCUACUUCUGCUGCUGCAGGUACUAUGGAUGUGGGUUAUGUCCAGCCAUCUAACACAACCAUGUUCGACGGCGUCGCUGGCGGCACUGGGUGGUUGGAUCCAGAGAUGGCGACGGACCCGCACAUAACCUACCGUGCCGUGGGGAAUGCCGGCCGACCGGCGGCCACGCCUGCCAAGGCUGGGGCGUCUUACACCCGUGGGUGUUCGGGUGCUGCUUAUUGCAGAAAGUGAUCCUUUAAGUCUCUUCGUUUCCAUGGGAGUCUCAUGAUCGAUGUGUCGUCGCAGAACCUACUUUGCUUGUAUGACUUGAUUAUGUUAUCAUUUGGCUUGCUUAUCUUUUUCCUGUGUUUGUUGUUUCACUUCUCUGCGUGGAAAACAUUAACGUUUCGAUUUAUGAAACUUAAUUGUUCUUUUUCGAUUGACUGUAUGUAUCAGAGAACAUUCUUAAUGUCGAUCAUAAACCUGAAUAAAAAAAAUGAAAUAUUGCGUUA
This 786-nucleotide long non-coding RNA is filed under the name Musa acuminata (dwarf banana). RNAcentral's name for it is "long non-coding RNA (MACU_LNC006998)". Lineage: Eukaryota; Viridiplantae; Streptophyta; Magnoliopsida; Zingiberales; Musaceae. The record is from RNAcentral.